Molecule: ribosomal RNA, 232 nt
Filed under: Neonectria lugdunensis
Lineage: Eukaryota; Fungi; Ascomycota; Sordariomycetes; Hypocreales; Nectriaceae
Description: partial large subunit ribosomal RNA
Rfam family: Eukaryotic large subunit ribosomal RNA
Source: RNAcentral
ACAGCUCAAAUUUGAAAUCUGGCCCCCGGGUCCGAGUUGUAAUUUGUAGAGGAUGCUUUUGGUGCGGUACCUUCCGAGUUCCCUGGAACGGGACGCCAUAGAGGGUGAGAGCCCCGUCUGGUUGGACGCCAAUCCUUUGUAAAGCUCCUUCAACGAGUCGAGUAGUUUGGGAAUGCUGCUCUAAAUGGGAGGUAUAUGUCUUCUAAAGCUAAAUAUUGGCCAGAGACCGAUA